Molecule: signal recognition particle RNA, 98 nt
Filed under: Crocinitomix sp.
Lineage: Bacteria; Pseudomonadati; Bacteroidota; Flavobacteriia; Flavobacteriales; Crocinitomicaceae
Description: signal recognition particle sRNA small type
Rfam family: Bacteroidales small SRP
About the family: The non-coding component of the signal recognition particle in Bacteroides
Source: RNAcentral
GGGUAAGUCCUGUACGACCAGCUCCUGUUUAAUCCCCCAGGGUGGGAACACAGCAAGGGUAGAUGGUUGAGCGGUGCGAUAUAGGUAGCUUACCCGCU